UGGGAUUCAGCUCAGUGGUGUAAGCGCCUGCCUGGGAAGCACGAGGUUGGGAAUUUGAUCCCCAGUACCAA
This 71-nucleotide transfer RNA is filed under the name Cavia porcellus (domestic guinea pig). It matches the Rfam family "tRNA". From Rfam's summary of the family: Transfer RNA (tRNA) molecules are approximately 80 nucleotides in length. Their secondary structure includes four short double-helical elements and three loops (D, anti-codon, and T loops). Further hydrogen bonds mediate the characteristic L-shaped molecular structure. tRNAs have two regions of fundamental functional importance: the anti-codon, which is responsible for specific mRNA codon recognition, and the 3' end, to which the tRNAs corresponding amino acid is attached (by aminoacyl-tRNA synthetases). tRNAs cope with the degeneracy of the genetic code in two manners: having more than one tRNA (with a specific anti-codon) for a particular amino acid; and 'wobble' base-pairing, i.e. permitting non-standard base-pairing at the 3rd anti-codon position. The record is from Rfam by way of RNAcentral. Lineage: Eukaryota; Metazoa; Chordata; Mammalia; Rodentia; Caviidae.